GGUGAACGCUAGCUACAGGCUUAACACAUGCAAGUCGAGGGGCAGCGGGAUUGAAGCUUGCUUCAAUUGCCGGCGACCGGCGCACGGGUGAGUAACGCGUAUCCAACCUUCCGCUUACUCGGGGAUAGCCUUUCGAAAGAAAGAUUAAUACCCGAUGGUAUCUUAAGCACGCAUGAGAUUAAGAUUAAAGAUUUAUCGGUAAGCGAUGGGGAUGCGUUCCAUUAGGUUGUUGGCGGGGUAACGGCCCACCAAGCCUUCGAUGGAUAGGGGUUCUGAGAGGAAGGUCCCCCACAUUGGAACUGAGACACGGUCCAA
RNAcentral lists this ribosomal RNA (315 nucleotides) under uncultured bacterium. RNAcentral's name for it is "bacterial SSU rRNA". It matches the Rfam family "Bacterial small subunit ribosomal RNA", at positions 28 to 334 of the family's 1533-position model. The record is from RNAcentral.